RNAcentral lists this long non-coding RNA (1434 nucleotides) under Scleropages formosus (Asian bonytongue). RNAcentral describes it as "lncRNA (ENSSFOG00015027838.1)". The record is from RNAcentral. Lineage: Eukaryota; Metazoa; Chordata; Actinopteri; Osteoglossiformes; Osteoglossidae.
AAAAUUGUAAAAACAAUUAAAUCCAUGUAUGUUUGACAGAGUGAUUUAAGAAAAAUAAAAUUCAAUUAUACCUGUAACUCAAAACAAUCCUGACUUCCAGGUAAAGUCUGAAAGAACAGAAAAUCAGCAAAAAAAAAAAAAAAACUGCAUUGUGUAGAUGCUCUAGAACCAUAAAAGACCAAAACGCUAUUUUGAACAUCAAACCCAUCUGUACCUUGACCUUUCUCCUCUGCAGAGCUUCCAGAUUUUGUUUCAUAUAGAUGUUUAGUGUUCAAUAACCUGACAUUUUGAAAGAACGCAUGACUAGUUCUCUACGGUCCUGCAGGUCUGAUCCAGGAGAUUUUUGUUCCAGUCAUACUGUGAUGCACCUCAUCCAUUGACAGACAACUGUAUACAUUUAAACCUGUGAGCUGCAGGGAGACCUGGAAACCCUGUUGUUUACAGUCCUCCAAGACCACAGGCGAACAGAUCUGCUUCAGAACAAAAAAACAAAUUCAAAAAACCUGAAGAUUCAUUACCACCUGCUUUUCAUAGUGGUUAAAGUGAGACAAAAUUUAUUACAGACUGAAUAAAUGUAAGCAACUGUUCCAUGUAGAAUUGUUCUGAUUGGAUAAUAGUGGACACACCCCUGACCCACCCACUUAAAGUGAAACACUUUAGUUAAAGACACAGAACAGCAGGGAGGGUGACAGAAGAAGAAAAGUCAAUCCAGUGGAAAGAUGGUUUUUGGGUCUACUGUCCUUCUGUUCUCACUUGUUCUGUUCGUACAGGGAGAGAGAAGACUUGUUCAGGAUCUAGACUAUGUGAGGAAGAAACCAGAUAAAACAGUGUACAUCCCCUGCAAACCUUCUGGGCUGAGCUCGGGUGACUACGUCCACUGGUACCAGAAGAAAGAAGGUCAACCUUUCAAAAGGAUCCUCUACAUUAGCUACGGGAGUAAAAGCCUUGCACGUGAUGAAAAUCAUCCACAAAAAGAUGAUUUUUCAGCCAGAGAGUUUGACUUGCACAUCAGUGAAACCAAACUGGACCACACUGCCACGUAUUACUGCGCCUGCUGGGAUUCCCACAGUGGCAAAGAAAGCAGGUGUCGCUAUAGAAAAACAUCAAAACCCUCUAGAGCAUGAGUUAUAAACCAUUUUCAGACCACAGACCUCUAAGAAUCUAAUCAGAACUAGUAACUUCUCUUUUUUUAUCCCCUCAAAAAGCCCAUAAAUUCACAGAAAAUAUUGCACUGAGUUAUUCCAUUCAAAAAUGAUCCCUCAAGCAGAACUGUGGCAGAAUGUAACGGCUUUCUUUUUUAACUUGUACUUCAUACGAAGGCAUAAUUUCAUUAAAAAAAAAAUCUGCACCUGAAGGACUGACUGAAGCCCAUCCAUGGAUCCCAGAUUUAGUAGAUUAAAAUAAAAUUGGACUUCAUUAGAGGAUGCUUGGCCA